Long non-coding RNA from Canis lupus familiaris (dog), 1532 nucleotides. RefSeq lists it as uncharacterized. The record is from RefSeq and is a predicted model, not a curated record. Lineage: Eukaryota; Metazoa; Chordata; Mammalia; Carnivora; Canidae. The transcript is spliced from 3 exons.
CUCACCCUGGGUCCUUGCACUUGCCUGGAAUGUUCUUCCUUUGACUUUGCUUGUGGUUGGAUUUUUGCAUCCUCUGUAAUUAACUUUUAUUUCCCAUUAAAUAAGCCUUCCAUGAGCAACCUGUUUAAAAUACUGUUGGGGCACCAGGAUGACUCAGUUGGAAGCUGGGGACAGGCUGCUAUAAAUUCCCAGACCAAGAGAAGACACUUCACAUGUGAGCAUGGCAGAGAAGGACCUGAAAAAAGCACAAGAUGAUGAAAUGAGCAAUCCCAGAUGCCUCAGCAGAUUGUACCAUUUUCAUAUAUUUUUGGUUCCACUACCCUGUAUAGAUAACAUGAUUCUUACUUGGGCAGACUUAAUUCACCAUUUUGAUGUCAUGGGGGUACAGCCAUCAUUCACACCAACAAAUGCCACAAAGCAUCUGUUCUUCAAAUGUAGCCCGUGGAUCUUGGACAACCUCAUUCAGCCUCACUCAGGAAGCUUGCUGAACAUACAGAUUCAUGAGCUGAACACAGAAUUACUGAAACAGAGUCUUUGCAAUUUGGAAACAAGCCCUAUAUGAAUUCAAAUGCUAGAGUUCUCCAAACCUUACUCCGAGUUUAGUGAAAAAGUGAUUUUUGCUUUGAUCUAUUUUUAAAAGUCUAGCAACCAACCUGCCUCAAUCCUAAGUAAUUUGUGUUGGGGCUUGUUACCUAUUCACAUGCUGGCAUUUGGUUUUAACCACAGUAGUGAGAGUGAAGAUGGCAUUCACUGACAAGCCAGUGCCAGAGAUUAUCAGAAAUAUUUCUAAAGCCACUGUUAAAACUCGACCCAGUGUUAUGACAUUUGUGGGGUUAUUUUUUCAGUCCUCUGAGGGCAAUGAGAGUUGAGAAGUCCCACAGAAUUCUGAAGGUGGUAAUCUUUUGAAGGGACCAACUCCUGUUUCAAUGUGUAUUAUCAGAUGAUUAGUUUGCGCUUUUACUUAUGUUUCACACUUAAUCAUUAUUUCAGUCCUUUGUGGUGUUUUAUUUUUAUUUUAGCACAGGAGGAAAGUGAGCUUGAGGAAGAUGGAGUCAUUCUGCCAAAUGCACAAACUAGUGAGUGUCAGGGCAGAGUUCAACUUUGACUUCUAGACCCAAAUCCAAGACAUGCUCUUGUUUGGAAGCAAGACUUGCCACCUCAAAAUGUGUCUUUUUCUCAUAAGGGUUAUUUUAGGCUGAUUAUUUUUAGAAGACAGAAGAAUCAAGAAGUUGCUAUUGGUGGUGUUUGCCCCAACUAACGGCCUAAAAGAAUUUAGGUAGAGGACCUGCUCCAUAAAGGGCACCAUCACUACAGAUAAUGACACUAUGACAGAGAGGAACCUUGCAAAGUCUAUUUGUUAAAUUCCUCUCUGUGACCCAUGUAUCUGGAUGGCCUGGCCAAAAUUUACUCUUUUUAAUCCUCCUGUGAAUUGCUCUCCUUCCCUUUGAUGUCCCAGACCCUCCCUUCUCUUUACUUCAGGAUCACAUAUAUGCUCCAUAUUGCCUAUCUUUGGAAACUUGUAUUCAUGUGGA